RNAcentral lists this ribosomal RNA (107 nucleotides) under uncultured bacterium. Its description in RNAcentral is "partial 16S ribosomal RNA". The record is from RNAcentral.
CCGUGAAUACGUUCCCGGGUCUUGUACANACCGCCCGUCAACCAUGAAAGUCGCCAAUACCUGACGUCUUAGCUAGCCUAGGCCUAGGUAGGGGAGAUGAUUGGGUU